AGUAAUACAUCGGAACGUGUCUUCUAGUGGGGGAUAACUGCCCGAAAGGGCAGCUAAUACCGCAUGAGACCUGAGGGUGAAAGCGGGGGAUCGGCAAGACCUCGCGCUGGAAGAGCGGCCGAUGUCCGAUUAGCUAGUUGGUGAGGUAAAGGCUCACCAAGGCGACGAUCGGUAGCUGGUCUGAGAGGACGACCAGCCACACUGGGACUGAGACACGGCCCAG
This 223-nucleotide ribosomal RNA is filed under the name uncultured bacterium. Its description in RNAcentral is "partial 16S ribosomal RNA". It matches the Rfam family "Bacterial small subunit ribosomal RNA", at positions 109 to 334 of the family's 1533-position model. The record is from RNAcentral.